Small nucleolar RNA from Otolemur garnettii (small-eared galago), 125 nucleotides. Its record names the gene SNORA70. It matches the Rfam family "Small nucleolar RNA SNORA70". Rfam says of the family: snoRNA U70 seems to be exclusive to mammals and is a member of the H/ACA class of snoRNA which contain H (ANANNA) and ACA box motifs. H/ACA box snoRNAs are involved in the conversion of uridines to pseudouridines (5-ribosyluracil) a constituent of structural RNAs (transfer, ribosomal, small nuclear, and small nucleolar). The record is from Ensembl. Lineage: Eukaryota; Metazoa; Chordata; Mammalia; Primates; Galagidae.
CUGCAGGUAAUAAGCUGAUCAUGCUCCUUUCCUCAUGGGGGACUGGUGCAAUGGCUGCAGCCUCCUUGCUAGUGUACGUAGCCUGUUGCUUGUAUAGGUUGCUCUAAGGGACCUUAGAGACAUUC